GCCUUCGUGGUGUAGUGGUCAGCGCGCUCGGCACGCAUCCGAGAGGGCCAUGGUUCGAGUCCCGGCGAGGGAA
Molecule: transfer RNA, 73 nt
Filed under: Stegodyphus mimosarum
Lineage: Eukaryota; Metazoa; Arthropoda; Arachnida; Araneae; Eresidae
Rfam family: tRNA
About the family: Transfer RNA (tRNA) molecules are approximately 80 nucleotides in length. Their secondary structure includes four short double-helical elements and three loops (D, anti-codon, and T loops).
Source: Rfam by way of RNAcentral